GAAAGUUGGAGGAGCCCCGAGCCAGCACCUCCUCCUGUCCCAGCGGAAGCUUGAUCUCCAAACUAAGCCUCUGUUUCUGAGCUGGCGGGGGGCAGCAGCUGCCGCAGAGGGCAAGAUUUCAUUUAUUUAUUUAUUUGAGAAGAAGAGAGGGGAGAGGGGAGCCUAAGCCGGGGAAGGGAGGAGGACAGGAAAGAGCCCGAGCAGCACAGCGCCUCCAGGUCUCCAUCGGACGGCCCUGAAUCGUGAGCUGGGCC
Molecule: long non-coding RNA, 254 nt
Filed under: Mustela putorius furo (domestic ferret)
Lineage: Eukaryota; Metazoa; Chordata; Mammalia; Carnivora; Mustelidae
Description: lncRNA (ENSMPUG00000024733.1)
Source: RNAcentral